RNAcentral lists this ribosomal RNA (332 nucleotides) under uncultured bacterium. RNAcentral's name for it is "bacterial SSU rRNA". It matches the Rfam family "Bacterial small subunit ribosomal RNA", at positions 568 to 898 of the family's 1533-position model. The record is from RNAcentral.
UGUGUAGGUGGACUGGUAAGUACCUUGUGAAAUCCCCCGGCUCAACCGAGGAACUGCUGGGUAUACUGCUGGUCUUGAGCAGCCUAGGGGCGAGCGGAACAAAUGGUGGAGCGGUGAAAUGCGUAGAUAUCAUUUGGAACGCCAAUGGUGAAAACAGCUCGCUGGGGGCUCGCUGACACUGAGACACGAAAGCUAGGGGAGCAAACGGGAUUAGAUACCCCGGUAGUCCUAGCCGUAAACGAUGUCCACUAGAUCGCAGUUUCUUUGACGGAAUUGCGGUCGAAGCAAAAGUGCUAAGUGGACCGCCUGGGAAGUACGGUCGCAAGGCUAAA